AAUGAACGCUGGCGGUAGGCCUAACACAUGCAAGUCGAACGGCAGCACAGUAAGAGCUUGCUCUUACGGGUGGCGAGUGGCGGACGGGUGAGGAAUACAUCGGAAUCUACUUUUUCGUGGGGGAUAACGUAGGGACACUUACGCUAAUACCGCAUACGACCUACGGGGGAAAGCAGGGGAUCUUCGGACCUUUCGCGAUUGAAUGAGCCGAUGUCGGAUUAGCUAGUUGGCGGGGUAAAGGCCCACCAAGGCGACGAUCCGUAGCUGGUCUGAGAGGAUGAUCAGCCACACUGGAACUGAGACACGGUCCAGACUCCUACGGGAGGCAGCAGUGGGGAAUAUUGGACAAUGGGCGCAAGCCUGAUCCAGCCAUACCGCGUGGGUGAAGAAGGCCUUCGGGUUGUAAAGCCCUUUUGUUGGGAAAGAAAAGCAGCAGGUUAAUACGCCGCUGUUCUGACGGUACCCAAAGAAUAAGCACCGGCUAACUUCGUG
This 492-nucleotide ribosomal RNA is filed under the name uncultured bacterium. Its description in RNAcentral is "partial 16S ribosomal RNA". It matches the Rfam family "Bacterial small subunit ribosomal RNA", at positions 29 to 507 of the family's 1533-position model. The record is from RNAcentral.